CCUACGGGAGGCAGCAGUGAGGAAUAUUGGUCAAUGGACGAGAGUCUGAACCAGCCAAGUAGCGUGAAGGAUGACUGCCCUAUGGGUUGUAAACUUCUUUUAUAUGGGAAUAAAACGUUCCACGUGUGGGAUUUUGUAUGUACCAUAUGAAUAAGAAUCGGCUAACUCCGUGCCAGCAGCCGCGGUAAUACGGAGGAUCCGAGCGUUAUCCGGAUUUAUUGGGUUUAAAGGGAGCGUAGGUGGAUUGUUAAGUCAGUUGUGAAAGUUUGCGGCUCAACCGUAAAAUUGCAGUUGAAACUGGCAGUCUUGAGUACAGUAGAGGUGGGCGGAAUUCGUGGUGUAGCGGUGAAAUGCUUAGAUAUCACGAAGAACACCGAUUGCGAAGGCAGUUCACUGGACUGCAACUGACACUGAGGCUCGAAAGUGUGGGUAUCAAACAGGAUUAGAUACCCCAGUAGUC
This 460-nucleotide ribosomal RNA is filed under the name uncultured bacterium. Its description in RNAcentral is "partial 16S ribosomal RNA". It matches the Rfam family "Bacterial small subunit ribosomal RNA", at positions 338 to 795 of the family's 1533-position model. The record is from RNAcentral.